CCCCAGCGCCACAAGUGGGGAUCACGUUUAUUUGGUCUAAAGCGUCCGUAGCAGGCUCUGUAAAUUUUUUGUGAAAUUGUUAUGCUUAACGUAACAGAUUGCAGGAAAGACUGCAGAGCUCGGAACUGGGAGGAGUAAUGAGUAUUUUCGGGGGAGCGGUAAAAUGUUAUAAUCCCGAGAGGACUACCUGUGCCGGAGGGGCAUUACUAGAACAGAUUCGACUGUGAGGGACGAAAGCUAGGGGA
This 245-nucleotide ribosomal RNA is filed under the name uncultured archaeon. RNAcentral's name for it is "partial 16S ribosomal RNA". It matches the Rfam family "Archaeal small subunit ribosomal RNA", at positions 474 to 718 of the family's 1478-position model. The record is from RNAcentral.